This 73-nucleotide transfer RNA is filed under the name Sus scrofa (pig). It matches the Rfam family "tRNA". Rfam says of the family: Transfer RNA (tRNA) molecules are approximately 80 nucleotides in length. Their secondary structure includes four short double-helical elements and three loops (D, anti-codon, and T loops). Lineage: Eukaryota; Metazoa; Chordata; Mammalia; Artiodactyla; Suidae. The record is from Rfam by way of RNAcentral.
UCCUUAGUGGUCUAAUGGUUAGGAAUUCGGCAUUAUCACUGCUGUGGCUUGGGUUCGAUCCCCAUCCACGGAA